Long non-coding RNA from Monodelphis domestica (gray short-tailed opossum), 12574 nucleotides. RefSeq lists it as uncharacterized. The record is from RefSeq and is a predicted model, not a curated record. NCBI's taxonomy places the organism in Eukaryota, Metazoa, Chordata, Mammalia, Didelphimorphia, Didelphidae.
AGCAACACUCCCACAUCUCUCUUUAACUUUGCUAGAGAUCCUAAAAUGUUUGUGCUGAAAGCGUCUCUAAGACAGAGGAUUACAGUGCAGCAGAGCUGGAAAGGAUCUUGCAGGUUAUCCUGUACCAUCCUCUCAUUUUGGAGCUCAAAACCGAACCCUGUGGGGAGUGUCUUGCCCAGGGUGCCCCCUCGGUAUUAGAAGCUGGGUCUUCUUUCCUCGUUCUUUCUUUGAUCGAAUUGAACAACUCACAGCCAGCUGAACGUCUCAAGUUUGCUGCAGAACCCAUUUUAAAGAAAACAGUUACCACUGUACAUAGAAUGGAAGCUUUAAGCUCUGGUAUUACAAUGAGGGUGUGAUUUUUCACCUAGAAGUUCAGAGUAAUGUGCUUUUCUCAAGCUCUGUGCAUGGAACUCAGGCCUGAAUUUGAUCUUGGAUGCUUUAAAGAGGUGGAUUAUUUCUCCUCCGUCUUCAUAAUGAGUUAGAAUGUGCCAAAGGUAGAAGGCUGCAAUCAUACCUGCAAACACUGACAUUUGGGAAAGGGAUCUUUGGAAGUCCAUGUCAGAAUGGAAAGGCACGAAAGCAUCCAGCCCUACCCAAGAGCUAGCGGACAGACCAGCCCCCUCCCUGCUCCAGACGGCCCCCCAGAAAGGUUUAUCUGCAAGCAUGAUUCACGUAGGACGCCGUAUUGUUUCCAGCCCAGAUACGGAGUUGGGAGGGAGGGGAGCUGAAGCUACAGAUUAGACCUCCUGUUCCCAAAGCCACUGUGUCCUGCCAAGUUAGAUACAAAGAUUCUGCAUGCCAGCGGCACGAUGGGCAGGGUGCCGAGGCCAAAAGAAUGCCCCCAAACAAAAACGCUCCUCUUUUAAAAAUAGAAUUUGUGGAUCUCAGGAGUCUGCUUGCAUGGCCAGUGGCAUGAGGGGAGGGUUGUAGGGAAAGGAGAGGCUUUAGUAUUUAUAUCUGUAUGCACGUGUUGAUUUUCUAAAGUAUCUAUUGUGCAUUCGUGUGCCACUUUGGUCAAUGACUUGCAAUCUUUUGCCGUAAGAAAUGAACAAGAGUGACACGAUGAAACCUUGAAGGUUUCAUUCCUUUUGUUCCCCAACAUGGCAGAAACGUGCCUUGGAAUGACCGGCAACAAAGCAGCCUGGAUCGCGCAUGCCGGAAUAAAGCUUUGUCUCAACAAACGGUGGCAGCAGCUCAUUUUUGCCAGGAGGGCUGAAGGAUACUGGGAGAGGGCCCUCGUUCUCCACUCAUGCCAGCCUCGGAAGCGAAGAAAACACUGGAGCCCUGAACAGAGGUCCUGGAAAGCCUGUUGCCAGAUAACCUACCCAGUGAUGAGAGGCCUGCUUCAUACAGAGCUAUGGAUUCAUUGCAGCAUUUUGGCUGGGACUCUUCUCUUUAACUGUGGCAGAGGCAGCAGAAUCUUUUGGCACUAUUAGAAGGUUCAUUUAUUUAAAGAAGAAAAUGAGACACAGAAUUUUCCUUCAAAGAAAUCAGCUUAGUGAAAUCCAGGGAAGAGGAGAAGCAGUGAGCUUUUACAAAGGACACCAUGAAAAUAGUCUAAAUAAUUCUUUGAUUGAGUCCUACAUAAUAUGUUAUUUAAAAUGAAAAACAAUUUCACGGGGAACCUGUAUUUUCACAGUACUGAACACAUAUGAAUGUGGGAUGUCGAGCUGGGGAAGAGGGCGCAAAUCUUCUUCCCCUCUCCCACUAUCAGGGGGAAGCUUUGAAAUCAUCUUGGAGGGGGAAGCCAACAGAAAUGCAAAGCAAAAAAAAAAAAGAGCUAAAAGUCUAAGAAAACAUUUUUCUGGCUUGCCAGUCACACAAGUCUCUGAGCCUUUAUUUUGAAAGAAAUGGCUUGUGUUGAGUCUUCCUUGAUAGAGAAAUUAGAGGGUGAAAGUGAACUGUCAACCUGGAAAAAGACAGGGUCCCUUUAAGCAGUCAAAAAGAAAAAGGUUCAAUUUCUGAACUCAAGAGAUAACUGUGUGCCAGGGCCUCUGGGUAACAUUAAGAUAUGAUCACUUGCUGGGAACAAAUGUUUUCAUCUCCCCCCUUUUAUGUAUUUGGCAAUACUUGUAACGCUGACUCCCUAGUUGCUAUUUCUUUGUUCAGUUUUUCCUUUUGCCUCAGAACUUUAUCACACACCACCCUCCCCUCUGAUAAAUCUUGGCAUAAAAUUCUUGGCAUCUUGGUUGGUUGGGUUCAUAUGGCCUCAAAACAGAGAAGCUAGUUAAAUUUCCACCCUCUUCAUCCUCUGGCUCACAGCUCACUUCUCAGAAUCCUGAAGCAACGAAGAAUCAUCCAGAUAGGGAAUAAUGUCAUCCAGAGCCUCAGACUUCUGAGCUGGGAUGGGUUAAGCCAUUCUAGGUGUGAUGUGCAUUAAAAAAGCCUUUGUUGAUUCUUUGCAUUCCCUUUACGGAAUAUGAAGCAGCAGUCGUAGCCAGGCACUAUUUUCAGAGCCGUGCCAACACUUAUUAAUAACGCUGGUGUGUAAAAGACAUACCCAUUUCAAACUCCUUUAGAUCCAAAAAAAAAUUACCAUUUGCUGGGAAGAGAGUAGAGAAAACAACGGCCACAAAUCACUACCAGAAUGAAAUGCUGCUCUUGGUUUUAAAUGGAAUCCAAGUACCCCCUCUGGAGCAGCCGUGACAAGCCCAGCUCUGGCAUCCAUCAGCUGGACAAAGAGGCUAGGACUUCAAAUUAAACAUAACUGAUCUUCCCAUCUCUGAGGAGGCUCUUGGCCUUUUGCUCCUGUGCAUAAUUAUAACUGACAUUAAUGGUCAUGACCCCUAUUUCCUCAGCUCGAUGGAAUUUCAUCCUUCCAAAUCACCUUAUCAUGCUAUUGACUUGGAAUCUAAAUUUGGCCACUGUGAUUUUGUACAGUGGGACUAUCUCUCCUGGGGUAAACUUUUAUGAGAAAAGUUAUAAAAAUCAGAGGCUUUAUUUAUUUUCUUAAAGCUGGUUAUUUUAAUUUCAUUCUGGGGUAAGCUCUUGGGAGAAAUGUGUUAUAAAAUUGGAGGCUUUAUUUAAUUUCUUGAAGUUGGUUAUUUUAAUUGCACUGGGGCUGAUCUCCGAAUGGUAGAAAUGGAAAAGAUACCCCUGACUUCAAGAUGCUAUCCAAACCAUAACUGUACUUGGAUGAGUUCUCCCCAAGAGGACAGACUGAGGCAACAGUAUAACAUACACAGAAACUAAGUACAAAUUGCAAACAGAAACAUAUGUACUUUAUAAAAGGAAGACUCUUUUGGCUUUGUUUACAGACUGUUGGUGGUGGUUUGUUUUUUUUUUAAGUAUAUGGAGCCUUCCACAGAUACCAGGCAGAAAAGCAAAACACUGGAAAAAUCAACCAAGAGAUUUUUAAAAGCUCAGACAAAAGACCAGGUGUUUUGCUUUGAUUAAUCAUUCACAACCAAUAACAGGGUGACUAAAGCUCUACUGACUUUCCCUCUGGCAUAUUACACCUUUUUAAUUCCGCGUGGAGAAGCUGCGCAUUAAUGAGGAAGAAAAAGCAGGAGCUAACAACAAAGUCCCCAUUUUCUGAAGUCUGGAGUUCACCACUGUAAUCAUUUCAUUUACUGCUUUUAAAUGAACUAUGGUCCAGGUGAAUGGUCUGAGUAGAACUCUGCUAGUCGUUAUUAUCACAGGCUAAACCAUCAUCAAGAUGUUCUGUAUGUUGGGUGCUGCAGAGCAUUCACUUUCAUUUUAAGUCAAACUCUUCAUUUAUCAGAAAUAUAAGUAUGAUCCCCAAAUCAGAAAACUUAUGCUUUUCCUUGUUAUGGUUAAUACUCUCAUUACCAAAAAAAUUUUUUACUGCCAGAUACAAAAGAAGGAAAGAUGAGCAUCGCACAGAGGGCGACAGAAUUCUGAAGGAGGGGAGAUGGAACAAAUAUUUAUUAGCCCACUAUGUCAAAGAUGGAGGAAAGGACCUACUUGUACAAAACAUGUCUAGGAGCUCUUUUGGUGGUGGCAAAGAAUUGGAACCUGGGAGGACAUCCAUUAACAGGAGACCGACGGAACAAGUCAUGGUAUAUGAUGAUGAUGAUGAUGGAAAACUACUGGGCUAUAAGAAGCACAAAGCCAAAUGAUUAACAGGAUAAUGACAAAAAAAAAGCAACAAAAAACCUAGAAGGAUUUAUAUGAUCUGAUGCAAAGUGAAGUGAGCAGAACCAGGAGGACACUGUAAAGAUGAUCAAUCAUGAAUGACUUAACUGUUAUUAACAAUGCAAGAAUAGUGGACAAUUCCAGGGGACCUAGGAUGAAAAACACUAUCCACCACCAUAGAAGGAACUGACAGAGUCUGAAUGCAGAUUGAAACAUGCUUCACUUUAUUUCCUCCAUGAACUUCUCUUUAGUGUAAGUGAUGUGUCUUGUUUCAUAUGAUAAAUAUGUAUUGUAGAUAACACAUAUACAACCUUCCCUGGGGAAGGGCUGAGGGGCAGAAGGGAGGGAGAGAACAAGGAUUGUAAACUCUCAGAAAACAAUUAUUAAAAAUUGUAUCAACAUGUAAUCAGGAAAAAAAUUUUCAAUAAGUACCUACUCUUGUGCCAGCUUCUAUACUAAGGGUUUUACAAACAUUUGUUCCUUUGACAGAAGGAGCAGAUGAGCUGGACCUGGGGCAGGAACAGAGAUAACUAGUGGUACUCUCAUGAUGGGUUGAGAAAUAUCAAAGGUUUCCAGACUGACGGGUAGACACCCUGGGGCUAACUUUUAGGAGAACCUGGUUGAGAGACACAUUGGCUGGGCAGGCAUAGACUAGGUUAUAAUUUUAAUCUUCAAAGAGAACUACCAAAUUAAUGAAAUUAUAAAAUUCUCCAUUUAGUUUUCCCCCUUUUAGUAAACUAGAAAACUCUCAGGCCCAUCCUUAACCAAAUGGAUGAGUUUGUUUGUAAAAUGUGCUGGAUUUCAGUGGGUAGAAAGCACCAAUCUGCCAUGAGUAAAAUCAUGUACCAUCAUCACUACCCCACUUCUCUGCCCCUGGCCCAAGAGCCACACUGAUGCAGGGAAUGCUGACCUAAACACAAAUGUUUAAUGGAAUAGUCAUGCUUGCAUUAACUUAAAAAUAAUAAUCAUUUCUCUUCUUGGUUUCAGGAGCAAUCUGGAAUUUAAGUCAAUUGGAUAACUCCUUUGAAAAAAUUUACCUCUUGGCUGCAACUAAAUGUAAAUAUAAAAGAGGGCAUAUGGAGUGAGCUUUGUCUGGGGUUGGGAAAGUCUACAAAUGGCAAAAAGAUUGUAAUGAUGGUGGUAAGGAUAAGAGGAAUAUAGGUUUGCACAUGUCCUCCCCCCGGCACCAUUCCAGGGUUGGGGCUCUUACAAAGCUAAAAACUGAAUAGUGAAAAACAUCAUAGCAACUGAGAUUGAUGCUGAAUAUCACAUGCGGUAAGGAUUGCUUACUAUGAGUGUCAUAUGCUAUAGCAACUCCUAUCACUAGUUUGCAAGUCAGAAGAGUGCAAUUUAGGACCCCAUCAGUGGAGCUCCUUUCUCACUAAAACAACACAAAUGGCCUGCCCUCUUCUGAGUUAGGUAGACAAAGAAGCUGGUGCUGAAAAGGAGACUGGGUGGAGGUUAUUGUCUACUAGGCAGAUCCUUGGAUAAUUCUAAGCUUGAAUACACAAAACACUGUGGUUAGAAAAUAAUCUUCUUGGUGUAGGUUCAACUGAUAGCAAUGGGGGCCAUUUCCUUAGCCCUAAAAUUAGUAAAAGAUCAACUUGGUCCUAAAGGACAAAGACAUUUUUACUACACUGUAAUUCUAACAGUGCGACUUAACAUGGAAUUUCAAAAUCUGGAUGCUCAAAUUUUCUUUUCAAAUCGGGAAAUUCUAAGAAUAUUCCUCCUCUGGGUGAGAAAGAUAAGCUAUCCCUGGUUCUGCUCCAGUGUGUUCAGGAAUGGGUCUUUCUUGCUCAGUUGGGGGCUUUGUUUCUGACAGUCUCUUCAGGGGGAGGUUUUCUCCAUGCUGAACACAGACUGUCUUCCAGUUAAUGACCUGGGAAGACAGGCAAUCAUGGUGAGACGUUUACUGGGGGGAGUGUGAGAAGGAAGAAAAAUACAAGGUCUCUUCUCACUUAACAUUUGUUGUGUUAAGCUUCUCAAAUAAGACUCUUUGUUCUAGCUUCCAUGUCUUGAUUUCUAGAUGUAAUGAAGACUGGUAAAACGCCCUUUAACAACUAUUUUGCCAAUUUCAAAUGACUCUGUGACAUCUUUCUAGAAAGAGAAUGGAAUAAAUUUGAGGGCGUAUAAAACCUUGGAUUAAAAAUAAGUUGGUUUGGGCAUCUCCCCUCUAGGAUGCCUACACUGAACUGAAUUCAAGCUCAAAAAAAUCCCUACUCACAGCAUACAAAAUAAUAUUGUUAUUUGAAAAAAAUCUCUUUUUUCUGCUUUUCCCCUUAUUCUUUUCAGUUAUUGUACUAAUGAUUGGGGAAAUGAUCAUCAAGCAAUAAGAAGUAUUUCCAAACUAGAAGAGCUAAGCAAGUCAGUGUGAUUGCUUUUCUUUUAAUAAUAUGAAAAGGAGUAGAAGAAAAUUAUAUUACCUUCAGGCAACUAGGCAAAUUUUUGCAUUAUGGGUGAGAUUUGUGCCCUCCUCAGCAGCUCCUGGACUCGGGUACUUGACAGUAUUUCAAACUCUUAGGCACAAGCGCUUAUAAUUCUAAUUUCAUUGCUAUGGUAUGUUGUUUAAAAUAUUAGUAACCCUUACUUGGGAAGGAUUUUUGUUCCGACAACCAUGAAGGCCACUGCAAAUUCUUGGAACAAGUAAAUGUGGGCUGCCAACAGCUGCAGGAUAAUUUCCACACUGUGGAAGACUGCUUGGCUAAAGUCCAUUCUCUUCCAAACUCAUCUUUUCCCAACAGAAUAAUCCCCCAUCCAGAAAUGCAUUUCAAGAAACAAUCGAUGCCCUGUGGAAAAGACGGUUUUCUUGUACAAGGACAGCCAGCUUCACCUGAGAGACACUUCAGUACAGAUCUCAAAGUGUCCCUUGCAGCAACUGUGUCCUGCACAUUUUCAGCCUUCCAGAUCUGUGAAUUUUCUCUUCUUGUAAUUCUGAACCAGGCUAGAAGCUGUGAUCUGAGAAGCUUGACCCUUCUCCCAGCACUGAAAGUCAUUCAACCCUUUCUGGCCUGUGUGAAACAAGCCCCGUUCCAGCUCAUCCAGCCGGGCAACCAGGCUUGAGGUGUCUUCAUUGUAGGCAUUCUGAGAGGAGUCCAUAAUACGGCGGAAACGCCCGAUAAAGGUCUAAGAGAGGAGGCAAUCACAGUCGUCAUUGAGCUACAAGAUGAAAAAUGCCAUUUCUACUUUUCACUUUUAUGGUAAACCAUCCAAAUGGGAUGGAAUUUGAAAAAGUUAAUAUUGCCUCAAGUUCAGGUGGAAUUCCAUUGAAAUUUUUGACCUAAUGACCAAGAAUCACCUACACAUAAAAUUUUCCACCAGAAAAAUGUCAGAUCUAAUUACUCUAGGAUUUUGUUAUUGUGCUUGAGAGCAGGACUUGAGGGAUGGGACCCAAACCUGCCUUUGCUGCCCUCGUGAUUUGGGAAUCAUAAGACUUUGAGCUAGAAGGAAUCUUUGUCAUCUGCCUUCUGACCCCAGCCCUCCAAACUGAAUCUGCUCUCUCCAAUGUUACUCAUGAUCUCUUCACUGUCAAAUCUGAUGAUUUGUUCUCAGUCUCCAUCUGCUGUGACAUCUCGGCAGCAUUUGACACCGCCGAUCACUCUCUCCUCCUCAAUACACUUCUCUGAGUUGUGACACGGCUCUUUCCUGAGUCUCUUCCUACCUUUGUGACUCCUCCUUCUCUAAAUGGCUCCAGGCACUCUUGUCUUCUCUAGUCUCUCACAUGGUGGCCAGCUUUUAUGGAUUUAAGUAGGGCAGCUAGCUGGCAGUGGAUAAAGUGCCAGGCCUGGAGUCAAGAAGACUAAUCUUCCUGAGUUCAAAUCCAGCCUCAGACACUUACUAGACGUGUGACCCUGGGCAAGUUACUUCACCUUGUUUGUCUCAGUUUCCUCAUCUGUAAAAGGGGCUGGAGAAGGAAAUGGCAAAUUACUCCAUUAUUUUUGCCAAGAAACCCCAAAUGGUGUCAAAAAGGGUCCAAUAGGACUGAAAAGUCAGAACCACAACAUUAUCAUCUCUCUGUAGAUGACUACUAGAUCUAUAUCCAGUCCCAGGCUCUCUGCUGAGCUCCAAGCCCACAACACUACCUUCUCAAUGACAUAUCAAAACUGGAUGUCGUGGACAUCUCAAGUUCAACAUGACUAAAACAGAACUUCUUAUCUUUCCUUUCCAAACAUUCCUGCCUUCUGAGCUUCCUUAUCUGUUAAAUACUCUUGGCUUUCCAGGUUUGUAACCUUAGCAUUAACCUCAACUCCUCUCUUUCACCUCAUCUACCCAAUCAAUAGUAAUAGGUAGCAUUUAGUUAGCACCUCCUUUGUGCCAGGCACUGUGCUAAAUAAUCUACAAAUAUUAUUUUGUUUGUUUUUCAUAGCAAAGCUGUGAGGUAGACCCUAUUAUUAUUGCCAUUUUGCUACUGAGAAAAAUGAGACAAACCGAAGUUAACUAUAAGCCUCUACAUAGCUAAGGAUUGUCCGAGUGGGAUCUGAACUCAGGUCUUCCUGACUCCAGGCCCAGUGUUCUGCCCACUGCACCACCUUUCUUCCUGUGAUCAGGUGCGAAAUACUGGCAUGUUUAUAUCUACACCUCUCAAAACCAUCCCUCUGCCACUCUUCAUUCAUCCUAUACUUUUGUUUGGUGACCUGGACGAUUGCAAUGAUUCCUAAUGGAUCCCUUUGCCUCUAAUUUCACCUCGCUCUUUUUGAGGAGUUCUUAACCUUUUCUGUUUCAUGGACCCCUUUGGCAGGCUGGUGAAGUUUAUACACUCCUUAUCCUAAGAUUUAAAAUAACUGAAGGAAAUGCUAAGUUUUAGUUAGAGGUUAAUGAGAAUAAAUUCCCCCUCCAUCCAAGUUGAAUGACACACUAAGAUCUCUCCCUGCAGCCCUUGAAGUCCCUGAACACCAUCCUUCAAACAGCUAUCAAAGUGGUGCUCCUCCAGUCUGGCCACACCAUCGUUUUACUCGGCAACCUGCCCUGGCUCUCUACUAUCUCUGGAAAAAGAUAUGAAUUCUUUUGUUUCUCUUUUAAAGCCCGUUACAACCUGUUCUCAACUUCUCUGCCUCCCUUUACCAGGCUCUGGUCCAGCUUACCUGGCCUUCUUUCUAAUCCACACACGUGACAUGCCCCUCUCCAGGCCUUGGCACUGGCCCCCCUCCAAAAUCUAGAAUGCAUUUUUUCAUUCCUGUUGCCUCAGGGAAUCCCCUUGCUUCUUCAGGACCCAACUCAAGCACCCCAAAGCCAUCUCUGACUCCACCAACUGCUAGUGCCCUUUCUUUCUAAGUGAUCCUGGAUUGAUUCUAUUUUUAUACUAGCUAAUGUCUGUAGUAUUUUAAGAUUUGCAAAGCAUUCUACAUUUUAUCUCAUUUGAUUCAUAUGACAACCCCAUGAGGUGGGUGCUAUUACCAUCACUAUUUAGCAGGUGAGGAAACUGGGGCUGAGACUUAAAUGAUUUAUCCAAGGUUGUACAAUUAAUUCUGAGGCAGAAUUUAAAUUGCAUCCACUGCCAUCCAUUCACUGCACCAGCUAGCUGCCUCUCCCUGUAGGGAUACAUCUUGUCUCUUUAGGUAGAAGGUAAGCUUCUUGACAGCACGGAUGGUUAUAUUUGGGUCUUGGUGUCUCCAGUGCCUAGUUCCAAAGAAAUGCUUGUUAACUGACUGCUUUACUAUAGCGUAGUCCAAUCCCUCAUUUUAUAGUUGAGGGUUUUCAACAAGAAAUAAAAUCCCUGAAUUUCUAUUCCUUCUGCUGUGUUAUGGUCCUAUAUCUUGGCAGACAGGUGGCUAUCAGAGUUGAGAUAAAGCAAUUUAAAAAAUCAAUGGAGACAGAAAACUCACUGGAAAAAAAAUGAAAUUAAGAAGGCUAUUUCUAGAGACCUAGAAACAGGAAUUUUCCUCAUUUCAUUAACUUGCAUUUUCCCCAUAACUAUAUUUUUUCUUUCUAAUUUCUAUGCAUUAAUGUUUUCCAAAUUAAAAUCAAAUGAAGCCAUUUUUGUUUACUAUUAGCAAUGAAAAUAGCAUCAUCAGUUUAAAAAUGGUAACACCUUUUCAGAUAAAACAUCUUUAUUUAUCCAUCAGUCUGUCUGGUGAUGUGAGCAGUCCUCAGGAACAAAUGUGUGUCUAGCCGACUGCUCAUCCCAAGUAAGAAAAGACAGAAAGAGUUUUGGGCUGCUUCAGUCCCAAAAAGCAAAUGGGGAGGUUGGUUUGUUAGAUAAUAGAUGAUGGAGUAAAAAUAAUUAUUAAAAAUAAUCAAAAUGUUAUACUUUUCAGUAAGGUAAUAUAGGCUAGGAAUUUUAGUUUGUCCAGCAGACAUUGAGGACAAUGGGAAAAGGAAAUAAGUAAAUCUGCUUCAACUGAGGUCCUCAGACAGGCCACGUUUUUACUGUUGGAGUUAGACUAAACAGAAGCCCCUGUGACUUGCUACCAUCUUUCCCUCUAUUCUGAGGCUUCCUGAUCAUUCUUGGUUUCUCUACCAGCUGUUUGUCAGCAAAUGAAGCAAUAGCAGUCAAGUAAGGUUUUGUUUCUUUUGUUUUGGCCAGAAAGGAUAGUCUAAUUUGGAAUAGGGAACAAUAUCAACUUUACAAUUUUUAAUAUAAGAAUGUUGACCUGCUUCCUAUUUUUAUAUGCUUCUGAAGCAAAGAGCCCAGCAGACCCCAUAUUCAAGUCUUCAUCUCUGUUACUUGCCUGUAAGAGUGUCUGGGACACAUCUGUAUUCUCUGGACUUUCGAAAUGCAGGAGCUGAGAGCCAAAGCCAUAGUAAUGGGGGCCCAUUUUAUGGAGGUCCACCACAUUGGCAUCAGCACUGAACACUGUCCUCCAACCCUCUUUAUAAAUCUUGGGGAGUUCCACAGAAAGUAUCCGUCUCUUGUUGUCAUAAAGUCCUUUUGCCAGCCACAGGGGAAUUUCCAAUUUUGAGCCCUAAGAAAGAAAACAAAGGCAAGGUCUCAGAAAAUAGAUCAACCAAAAGGAAAACCCACAGGGCAAAAAAGAGAAACAAACCAUGAGAUAAGUUCAGACUUUAUCACUGAAUGACUGUUGGUAGCAGAGGAUUUUGCAGUUACUUUCUGAAAAGUAAACUGUGGAGGCUGAAAUAAUUUUCAUGACAAUCUAGAGAAGAAAAUUGAUGAAUACAUGAAAAAAAGGCUAAAAAAAUUUGAGUAUAAAGGAAAGUUUUAGCAUACCUCAAAUAUGCCAAGUGAAUUCAUUUUUAGAGCUAAUCUCACUUUUGCUAUAGUACUUUCUGACUGUGUUCAGUAAAUUGUUCAAAUAUUAAAACCCUGGACAUGGUAUUUGUCUUCUGACCUGACUGCUGGUUCAUGUCUUAAGCUAACAACAAGCCCCAUGGAUGGGUAUUUUGCUUCCAUUAGUUUUGACUGUUCAAUUUUCCAUUCUAAAGAAAAAUUUACAAAAGGGCACUGACUUAUCCCAAAGAGACCAAAGGAAAAGGACCUAUUUUUACAGAAAAAUUUUUGGCAGCUCUUUUUGUUGUGGCAAAAAAUUGGAAAUUGAAGGGGUGCUCAAGAAUUGGGGAACAGUUGAACAAGUUGUGGUAUGAUUGUGAUGGACUACUACUGUGCUGAGGAAAAAUAACAAAAAGGAAAUUUUCAGAAAAACUUGAAAACGCUUAUAUGAACUGAUGCAAAAUGAAGUGAGAAGGACCAGGAGAUCAUUGUGCCUAGUAACAGCAAUGUCAUAAUGAUGAUACUGUGAAAGACUUGGCUACUCUGGUCGAUACAAUGAUCCAAGACAAUUCCAAAGGACUCAUGAAGAAAAAAAUGCUUCCCACUUUCAUUGAACUGAUGAACUCUGAGUGCAAACUGAAGUAUAAUUUUCUUACUUUGUUUUUCUUGCUUUAAAAAAAUAUAGCUAAUAUGAAAAUAUAUUUUGCAUAAAUUCACAUGUAUAAUUAAUAUUGAUUGCUUUUUCAGUGCGUUGGGAAGGGGCAGGAGGGAUGAAGAGAAUUAAGAACUCAAAAUUUUAAAAAAAGUGCUAAAAAUAAAUUUUUUUACAAAGAGUUGACUUGAAUAUAUUCCUUAAACUAAAUGGCUUAACUUUCAUAUUAUAUGAAAUAAUUGUAUUGAUGCACACCAUACAUCAGGUAGUACCUUAUAUUUUAAGGGAUCUUUGAUCUCAUUGAUGUACCCUCCAGCAGUAUACAAUGAAAUCCACACCUUCAGACUUUGGUGACUCUUGUUUACACCCUUUCAUAAAUCACCCACAAGGGUUCCUUCUACCCAUAGGAUUAGAAAGGGCCUCCCUUGAAGUUUCUUCAUGAGAUAAGUGCCAGUGAAGCAUCUAGGCAGCCCAGUAUGAAUUCUAUGGUCUAAAUGUAUCCCUGACCACAUCCCCCCAUCUUCUCCAGUAAUCUGCUCUCUUAGUUAUCAUCUCUCUUGAAUAUUUAGUCUCUCCAUAAAUACUGGUUCCUUCCCUAUUGUCUUCAUAAUAUGCCUACAUCUCUAUCUUUAAAAAUAAAUAAAUAAAAGAACCCUUUACUA